UGACAAAUUGCGGAUCCUGAAUAAUUUCAGGACGACUCGGUCAAGUCUUUCCCCUAUCAGGUUUCGAAGGCAGUGUAUUGAACUGUCUUGCCGUUGACGGGUAACGGAGAAUUAGGGUUCGAUUCCGGAGAAGGAGCCUGAGAGACGGCUACUACAUCUAAGGAAGGCAGCAGGCGCGCAAAUUUCCCAAUGCUCAUCGAGCGAGGAAGUGACGAUCAAUAACAAUGCGCGACGUUUUACGUUGUGCAAUUGGAAUGACUACAAUUUAAACUAUUUAAGGAGGAUCAAUUGGAGGGCAAGUCUGGUGCCAGCAGCCGCGGUAAUUCCAGCUCCAAUAGGAUAUAUCAAAGUUGUUGCAGUUAAAAAGACUCGUAGUUGAAUUUCUGCCGGUCUUUUUGUGCGUUUCCGCGCGGGUCAAACCGCGAGGCAUUCGCCGCCGGCAUUUUGUGGAAGACGGCGCGUGCGUGGUUCGCUCCGCGUAUGCGUCCCACUCCGUUACUGAGAGCAAAUUGGAGUGCUCAAAG
Molecule: ribosomal RNA, 524 nt
Filed under: uncultured eukaryote
Lineage: Eukaryota
Description: bacterial SSU rRNA
Rfam family: Eukaryotic small subunit ribosomal RNA
Source: RNAcentral